This 781-nucleotide long non-coding RNA is filed under the name Rattus norvegicus (Norway rat). RNAcentral describes it as "long non-coding RNA NONRATT019378". Lineage: Eukaryota; Metazoa; Chordata; Mammalia; Rodentia; Muridae. The record is from RNAcentral.
AGACUGCUGUUUUAGAAAAUCAUAUCUGAUUAUUUGCUCAGCAGAAGAUUAUUGAGUUGAUUUAGCUGUGAUUUUACUUAACAAAGCUUCAACUGCAUUCCUACUGUGGAGUCCAAAAAAGGUAGAGAGAUAUAAAUGAUACAUUCACACUGUGAUUUUUGUGAACAGGGCCGUCGAUGCACCCCUCGGAGCUAAUAGCGGAGAUGAGAAACAGUGGGUUUGCACUGAAACGAAAUGUACUGGGGAGAAACUUGACCGCAAAUGAUCCAUCGCAGGACUAUGUCGCAAGUGACGGUGAAGAAGACCCUGAAGUUGAGUUCUUAAAGUCGCUCACCACCAAACAGAAGCAGAAGCUUCUCAGGAAAUUGGAUAGACUUGAAAAGAAAAAAAAGAAAAAGAAAAGUGAUAAGAAAAAGAAGAAGUUACAGAAGAGCAAAAAUAAACACAAAAAACAUAAAAAAUCCUCCUCUUCCUCAUCUUCUUCCUCCUCCUCCUCCUCUUCUUCCUCCUCCUCUUCCUCUUCCUCUUCCUCAUCCUCCACCUCCUCCUCGGAGACAGAUAGCAGCAGUGAGAGUGACAACAAAGAAAAGAAAGAGAAAGAGAAGAGGAAGAAAAGGAAGAAAACCAAGUGUUCUGGAAAUAAAUCCGGUGACUGUAAAGAGUACAAGUCUAAGAACAUGCUUUAUGAAGAACUUUCUAGCAGCCAUAGUGACAGGGGGAAAGCCCAGGAAAAAUUAAGGCUUCUAAAACAAGAGAGUUCUGGAGAAAAUAGCACAUGGGU